UCUUCCUAGAAAGAUGUGUCUGUGGUUCCCUGCCCUUGGACAAGUGAGAAUUGGAGGAGAAGUUAUAUGGACUUAGAGAAGUCUGGAGCCAGCUUGUUCCCCACAGGCUCAAGAUCACCCUUCCCACACUG
Small nucleolar RNA from Choloepus hoffmanni (Hoffmann's two-fingered sloth), 131 nucleotides. The record is from Ensembl. Lineage: Eukaryota; Metazoa; Chordata; Mammalia; Pilosa; Megalonychidae.